Molecule: ribosomal RNA, 429 nt
Filed under: Gemmatimonadota bacterium
Lineage: Bacteria; Pseudomonadati; Gemmatimonadota
Description: Gemmatimonadetes bacterium partial 16S ribosomal RNA
Rfam family: Bacterial small subunit ribosomal RNA
Source: RNAcentral
UAGGGAAUCUUCGGCAAUGGACGAAAGUCUGACCGAGCAACGCCGCGUGAGUGAAGAAGGUUUUCGGAUCGUAAAACUCUGUUGUUAGAGAAGAACAAGGACGUUUGUAACUGAACGUCCCCUGACGGUAUCUAACCAGAAAGCCACGGCUAACUACGUGCCAGCAGCCGCGGUAAUACGUAGGUGGCAAGCGUUGUCCGGAUUUAUUGGGCGUAAAGCGAGCGCAGGCGGUUUCUUAAGUCUGAUGUGAAAGCCCCCGGCUCAACCGGGGAGGGUCAUUGGAAACUGGGAGACUUGAGUGCAGAAGAGGAGAGUGGAAUUCCAUGUGUAGCGGUGAAAUGCGUAGAUAUAUGGAGGAACACCAGUGGCGAAGGCGGCUCUCUGGUCUGUAACUGACGCUGAGGCUCGAAAGCGUGGGGAGCAAACAGG